Molecule: ribosomal RNA, 512 nt
Filed under: uncultured bacterium
Lineage: Bacteria
Description: bacterial SSU rRNA
Rfam family: Bacterial small subunit ribosomal RNA
Source: RNAcentral
GACGAACGCUGGCGGCGUGGAUUAGGCAUGCAAGUCGAACGGUAUCAUCCUUUCGGGGGUGAGAGAGUGGCGAACUGGUGAGUAACACGUAGGUUAUCUACCCUCAAGACGGGGACAACCCAGGGAAACUUGGGCUAAUACCGGAUGUGAGCAACUUUUAGUUGUUUGAAAGGUGGCGUAAGCUGUCGCUUGGGGAUGAGCCUGCGUCCUAUUAGUUAGUUGGUGAGGUAACGGCUCACCUAGGCAAUGAUAGGUAGGCGGCCUUAACGGGUGGUCGCCCACACUGGGAUUGAGAUACGGCCCAGACUCCUACGGGAGGCAGCAGUCGAGAAUAGUCUACAAUGGUCGGAAGACUGAUAGUGCGACGCCGCGUGAACGAUGAAUCCCUUCGGGGUGUAAAAGUUCUUUUAUAUGUGAGCAGUGCUUUCUUAUAUUAAACAGUAUGGGGAAGAGAUAUUAGCAUAUGAAAUAAGCAAACGGCUAAACUCCGUGCCAGCAGCCGUCGGUAAAUA